GACGAACGCUGGCGGCGUGCCUAAUACAUGCAAGUCGAGCGAAAGGGCGCGAAGCUUGCUUCUCUCACGUUAGCGGCGGACGUGAGUGUAACACGUGUAACCCCUCCCUAUCAUACUGGGAUCAUUUCGGGACACCGGAGAUAAUCCCGGAUAAUCUUUUGAACCGCAUGGUUCAUAAGUAAGAGACGGUGUUGCUGUCACUACUCGCUGGUUCCGCGCUGCAUUGGCUAGUUGUUACGGUAACGGCUUACCACGGCAACGAUGCAUAGCCGACCUGAGAGGGUGAUCGGCGACAUUGGAGGGGGGACACGGACCAGACGCCUACGAGAGGCAGCAGUAGGGUAUCUGCCGCAAUGGGCGGAAGCCUGACGGAGCAAGGCCGCGUGAGUGAUGGAGGUCUUCGGAGCGUAAAACUCGGUUAUUAGUGAAGAACAGAUGUGUAAGUAAAUGUGGACAGCGUGACGGUACCUAAUCAGAAAGCCACGGCUAACUACGUG
RNAcentral lists this ribosomal RNA (497 nucleotides) under uncultured bacterium. RNAcentral's name for it is "partial 16S ribosomal RNA". It matches the Rfam family "Bacterial small subunit ribosomal RNA", at positions 28 to 507 of the family's 1533-position model. The record is from RNAcentral.